Non-coding RNA from Nothobranchius furzeri (turquoise killifish), 4172 nucleotides. The record is from RefSeq and is a predicted model, not a curated record. Lineage: Eukaryota; Metazoa; Chordata; Actinopteri; Cyprinodontiformes; Nothobranchiidae.
GCUGAAAUUUGUGUAGAAUAGAAUAGAAUAGAAUAGAAUAAUCCUUAUGUCCCACAAUGUGGAUAGUGAGUCAUAGCAGCUAGUUUGUAAAGUAAAUGUUUUGCUCCAAGUUAAAUAUUCAGAUUACAAACUAAAUACGUUGGUGUGACCUAAUUAUUUAAUUUGUAAAAUAAACAUUUAAGUCUAAAUUAAACAUUUGGCUUGUAAUAUUAUUAUUUAGUUGGAAACUUUAACAUGAAUAAUCAUGGUGAAAAUAUUACUUAGAAAAACGAACCACCUAUUUUUUUACCUUCUUCUAGUUUAACUUAAUUGCUGCAAAAAUUAUGUUUGAUUUUAAAUGGCACCACACAGAUAUGUGCAGAAAUAAAAAUUAUUAAUACUUUAAACUAUUAUUCACAGCAUUUUAACCUAUUAAAAUUUUAAUUAUAUUUCAGUUGAUUGCAUUUUGCUGCUUCCACCAAGUCUCAGAAUUAGUUUUCUGAAUUAUACCGUACCAAAUAUAAUUUUUUUCUACAGUCUUUGUAUAAACCCAGUUACUAGGAACUACUUUUUCUUCUGCCUUCCACAGUACAACUCAUUAACUAUUCAGGAAAACGGUCAGAUCAGAUAGAUAAUAAUAUUAACUGCAUUUUGCGAUGUAGGUGAUGACUAACAUGCAGUUACUGUGUUAUUUAUAAAUGGUGUAUUUUACUGGUAAUUCAUCUCGAGUCCCAGUAUUCAUGCGCUCAUGCCCGGGAAAGCACCUGGCUCACGUGAUCACGGUUCACAAGCUGUAGCCAGCGCCGCUGGGCUGCUCAUUGGUCCAGCCGACAAUUGCGCGGCAGUCUUUGGCGGUGUUCUAACCGGUUCUAACCGAACAGCGGCAAGAAAGAAAAAGAACAGGAGGAAAGAACUUCAGCUGCAGGAAUAAAGGGAUUCGCAACGUUCUCCAGUCUGCUGCAGGACGACGAAGACUGUUUUCUCGACGUAGAUGCGUGGAGCAUCACUGCAUGUAAGUGCCCUUUCUCUUUACUGACUUUUAGUCAAACAUUGCUUGCUCAGACUAGUCACCGAUAUUUGAGAAAGGAUAAGUUUGAGUUAACUGCCGUUCUGGUUCAAAAUGUCUUACACGUGUACUGUUUGUAAAUUCAAAGCUGUGUCAACUCCCGCAUUUAUUCGACAUGUUAAAAUGCACAGAAAUGUCGCUAACAUUAGAUUUCACUGUGGCUAUGCAAAUUGUCCUUCUGCUUUUUCAACAGUAAUUGCUCUUCAAAAGCAUAUGUACAGAGUUCAUACGACCACAGUUAAAUCAAGGGCGCAAACGCAAGGACAUGCUUUAGCUUUGUCAUGCAAAUUUGAGGGGUGUACCUUUGUGUCAGAGCGUGUAGCAACCUUAUGGGAGCAUCUGCAGCUACACAAGUCAGGUGGGACAAAAGUGCCUUGCCCCUUUGAUAACUGUCCAAAGACUUUUUCUGUCCGUUCAUCUUUCACCUCACACAUCAGUCUGAAACACAAAGCAAUAAUUUGCACCUCUAUUGCUGCUGCUGCCAGCACAGCUAGCUCCAUGGACACUGAAAUGACUAAAACAGCUCAACCAGGUUUAGAUGACAAUCGUGAAGCAGAAGUGUUGGAUGGUGACACUGAAUUAGAUGAGAAUGAGUUCAUGACCAGUUUGGCCUUGUUCUAUCUCCAGAUGCAGGCUAAAAUGCUGCUGCCUACCAGCAUGAUUCAAAAAAUAAUUGAAGAGUUCCAGCAGGUGCACAGUUCAAGCACAGCCCAUCUUUUGUCUAAGCUGCAUCAAGAUUUGACUCAGUUAAAUGUGCCUGAAAAUGAAAUCAGAAAUCUCAUUGAUAAUCUGUCAAAAAACGACCUGAUGAAAAGAUGCAAUGAAGGAGUUUUUAGAAGUGAUCAAACACGGAAAACGCUUUUCAAGCGUGAAUUCAAUUAUGUUGAGCCAACAGCGAUUUACCUGGGUAUUGACAGAAAUGGAAAAGAGAGAUUUUGCCAGUAUGUGUCUAUUAAAGAGACACUCAAGGCAUUACUUAGCCAAGGAUCAGUUCAAGAGCAAUAUCUCCAAGCAAAAUCUGAAACAUCAACUCCUGAUGUCCUCGAAGAUCUGAGAGAUGGUAAAAUCAUAAAAAACAAUAAAUUAUUAAAUGAAUCACCAUCCUCAGUAGGUAUAAUCUUAUAUCAAGAUUCAUUUGAAGUUGCUAACCCCCUUGGUUCUGGCAGAAAGAAGCACAAGAUCUUGGCUAUGUAUUUGACGCUAGCAGAAAUCACGGCACACAACAGGUCUUCCGUUGACCAAAUGCAACUAGUUUUGUUGUGCAGGGAGGAGGACUUCAAAUUUUUUGGCCAAGAAAAGGUAUUUUGUGCUGCAGUUAAUGACCUGAAAGAAAUUGAAGACAGUGGUAUUCAUGGUCCUAGAGGGAAUAAUGUGAGGGGUACUGUUUUGGCCAUAACAGGAGAUAAUCUAGGAUCUCAUUCCAUUGGAGGUUUUACUGAAAACUUCAGUAGAAGCAGAUACUUCUGCAGAUAUUGCCUCAUUGACAGGGAAACCUGGGAGCAAUCUCCAACAAAACCUGGUCCAGCUAGAUCAGUAGAGACCUACAAAAACUGUGUGGCAGAGGGGGAAAUGGCAUAUGGGGUAAAGUUUGACUCUGUGUUCAAUCAGCUGAAGUAUUUUCAUGUUUGCCAGCCAGGCCUCCCUCCAUGUCUGGGUCACGAUCUGUUUGAAGGGAUUGUUUCUGUUGAUCUUGCUCUAUAUAUAAAGCACUUAGUAAAGAUUGAGAAACAGUUCACAUAUAACCACAUAAACAGGAUAAUAUCAUAUUUCCCCUACAAAGGCAGCGAUGCCAACAAUAAACCAUGUGAGGUAAAAGCAGAUGGCGAAAAGCUUGGUGGCCAUGCUGCUCAGAACUGGUGCCUCUUGCGUCUCCUUCCUGUAAUGGUUGGGGACAGAAUAAAAAAUCCCCUUGAAAAUGAUGUUUGGCAGUUGUGUCUCAAGUUGAGAGAGGUUGUUGAGCUAAUAUGUGCACCGAAGAUCCACAAAAACCAAGUUGCAUAUCUUCAAAUGCUUAUUGAGGAGUACCUUGAAAUGAGAAGAAAAAAAUUCCCAGGAAAUUCACUGCAACCCAAACAUCAUUACCUUGUUCACUACCCUGCGCUUAUCCUCCAUUUUGGUCCACUUAUUCGAUUAUGGACGCUGCGUUUUGAAAGCAAGCACAGUUAUUUUAAACAGUGUGCAAGGAAGCUUCAUAAUUUUAAAAAUCUCUGCAGCACUUUAGCUGAAAGACACCAGCUGCUGCAAGCUUACUUGCUUGCUGGCAGAUUCUUUCCGCCAUUGCUUCAAAUAGGGGAAUCCAUGAAGUUCCAUGACAAACUCUACCAGAUCGCAAUACAGAGAGCUGCCAGUCUCCGUGACCUUCAUCCAGAGAACACUUUUGAAACAGCCUCUGUUACAUUUAAAGGGACGCUGUACCAAAGAGGCAUGGUUAUUGUUGUCAACCAAAAUGACACAGGCUACAAGUUUGGGAAAAUUGUGCUCAUACUGAUUAAUCAGUCAUGUGUGCAUGUUGUUGUUGAGCUGUACCAGUCAGUGCGUGUUUUGGAUCUCGGUGUACACUGUCUACAAAACAGUCAUGAUGCUCAUUACGAGUGUGUGUCUAUGGACAGUCUUGCAGACUACUAUCCAUUGGCCACAUAUAAUCAGUUUAGUCUGAACUUGAUUGCCUUGCACCAUUCAGUGUGUUACAGGUAAAAGACAUGGACUCCAUUGAGCAUGCAAUACAGAGCGUGCUACCACAGCUACAGAGGGAGAAGGUGGAAGCAGUGAUUCACGAGUUUGAAACCACAUUGGGUGUGGAAGGGCCAGAUGAUCUUCAGUUUAUCAAAGAGGCAGACAUCAGUCACCUACUAUCACCCAUUCAGUGCAGAAGAUUGAUUAAUUCUUUCAAAAGUCAUCCAAAAAGUCCUCAGCCUAUCACCUCCUCACCCGUUUCUUCCCCCUCUAGCUCAUUUUCAAAUGAGCCUUACACCAGUCCAUUAACCAGUCCACAAGGACACAGCAAAUGGGUAGACGGAUUUCAGGUGCAAUGGGACAAAAUGAGGCCCGCUCUCAAAAGAGCCAUUGAUGAUGGUAAUCGUCCAGAGCCAGGGGAUCGCAGACACAUGGUGAAAGUCAUUGUUGAUUC